Molecule: ribosomal RNA, 253 nt
Filed under: uncultured bacterium
Lineage: Bacteria
Description: partial 16S ribosomal RNA
Rfam family: Bacterial small subunit ribosomal RNA
Source: RNAcentral
UACGGAGGGGGCUAGCGUUGUUCGGAAUUACUGGGCGUAAAGCGCACGUAGGCGGAUUGGAAAGUUGGGGGUGAAAUCCCCGGGCUCAACCCGGGAACUGCGUCCGAUACUGGAAGGCUUGAAUCCGGGAGAGGGAUGUGGAAUUCCAGGUGUAGCGGUGAAAUGCGUAGAUAUCUGGAGGAACACCGGUGGCGAAGGCGACAUCCUGGACCGGUAUUGACGCUGAGGCGCGAAAGCCAGGGGAGCAAACGGG